Molecule: ribosomal RNA, 465 nt
Filed under: uncultured bacterium
Lineage: Bacteria
Description: partial 16S ribosomal RNA
Rfam family: Bacterial small subunit ribosomal RNA
Source: RNAcentral
GACGAACGCUGGCGGCGUGCUUAACACAUGCAAGUCGAACGGAAAGGCCCUGCUUGCAGGGUACUCGAGUGGCGAACGGGUGAGUAACACGUGGGUGAUCUGCCCUGCACUUCGGGAUAAGCCUGGGAAACUGGGUCUAAUACCGGAUAGGAGCCAUUUUUAGUGUGAUGGUUGGAAAGUUUUUUCGGCGUAGGAUGAGCUCGCGGCCUAUCAGCUUGUUGGUGGGGUAAUGGCCUACCAAGGCGGCGACGGGUAGCCGGCCUGAGAGGGUGGACGGCCACAUUGGGACUGAGAGACGGCCCAGACUCCUACGGGAGGCAGCAGUGGGGAAGAUUGCACAAGGGGCGCAAGCCGGAUGCAGCGACGCCGCGGGGGGGAGGACGGCCUUCGGGUUGUAAACGCCUUUCGCUAGGGACGAAGCUUUUUGUGACGGUACCUAGAUAAGAAGCACCGGCUAACUACGUG